GAUGAACGCUGGCGGCGUGCUUAACACAUGCAAGUCGAACGGGAAUUACUUUAUUGAAACUUCGGUCGAUUUAAUUUAAUUCUAGUGGCGGACGGGUGAGUAACGCGUGGGUAACCUGCCUUAUACAGGGGGAUAACAGUCAGAAAUGGCUGCUAAUACCGCAUAAGCGCACAGAGCUGCAUGGCUCAGUGUGAAAAACUCCGGUGGUAUAAGAUGGACCCGCGUUGGAUUAGCUAGUUGGUGGGGUAACGGCCCACCAAGGCGACGAUCCAUGGCCGGCCUGAGGGGGUGAACGGCCACAUUGGGACUGAGGCACGGCCCAGACUCCUACGGGAGGCAGCAGUGGGGAAUAUUGCACAAUGGGGGAAACCCUGAUGCAGCGACGCCGCGUGGAGGAAGAAGUAUCUCGGUAUGAAAACUUCUAUCAGCAGGGAAGAUAAUGACGGUACCUGACUAAGAAGCCCCGGCUAACUACGUGCCAGCCGCCGCGGUAA
Molecule: ribosomal RNA, 494 nt
Filed under: uncultured bacterium
Lineage: Bacteria
Description: partial 16S ribosomal RNA
Rfam family: Bacterial small subunit ribosomal RNA
Source: RNAcentral